UAAGCCAUGCGAGUCAAGGGGGCGUUCCUUUUGGAACGCCACCGGCGCACGGCUCAGUAACACGUGGCUAACCUACCCUCGGGUGGGGGAUAACCUCGGGAAACUGAGGCUAAUCCCCCAUAGGGGAGGAGGUCUGGAAUGAUCCCUCCCCGAAAGGGCCUUUAGGCCCGCCCGAGGAUGGGGCUGCGGGGGAUUAGGUAGUUGGUGGGGUAACGGCCCACCAAGCCUACGAUCCCUACGGGCCCUGAGAGGGGGAGCCCGGAGAUGGACACUGAGACACGGGUCCAGGCCCUACGGGGCGCAGCAGGCGCGAAACCUUGGCAAUGGGCGAAAGCCCGACCAGGGGACCCCGAGUGCCCUGGCUCUGCCAGGGCUUUUCCGGAGUGUUAACAGCUCCGGGAAUAAGGGCUGGGCAAGUCCGGUGCCAGCAGCCGCGGUAAGACCGGCGGCCCAAGUGGUGGCCACUGUUAUUGGGCCUAAAGCGUCCGUAGCCGGCCCAGUAAGUCCCUGCUUAAAUCCCACGGCUUAACCGUGGGGCUGGCGGGGAUACUGCUGGGCUUGGGACCGGGAGAGGCCGGGGGUACCCCAGGGGUAGCGGUGAAAUGCGUUGAUCCCUGGGGGACCACCUGUGGCGAAGGCGCCCGGCUGGAACGGGUCCGACGGUGAGGGACGAAGGCCGGGGGAGCAAACCGGAUUAGAUACCCGGGUAGUCCCGGCUGUAAACGCUGCGGACUAGGUGUCGCGUCAGCUUCGGGCUGGCGCGGUGCCGAAGGGAAGCCGUUAAGUCCGCCGCCUGGGGAGUACGGUCGCAAGACUGAAACUUAAAGGAAUUGGCGGGGGAGCACUACAACGGGUGGAGCCUGCGGUUUAAUUGGAUUCAACGCCGGGAAUCUCACCAGGGGCGACGGCAGGAUGAAGGCCAGGUUGACGACCUUGCCAGACGAGCCGAGAGGUGGUGCAUGGCCGUCGUCAGCUCGUACCGUGAGGCGUCCUGUUAAGUCAGGUAACGAGCGAGACCCGUGCCCCAUGUUGCCAUCUCCCCCUCCGGGGGGAGGGCACUCAUGGGGGACCGCCGGCGCAAAGCCGGAGGAAGGUGCGGGCAACGACAGGUCCGCAUGCCCCGAAUCCCCUGGGCUACACGCGGGCUACAAUGGCCGGGACAAUGGGACGCGACCCCGAAAGGGGGAGCGAAUCCCCUAAACCCGGCCUUAGUUCGGAUCGAGGGCUGUAACUCGCCCUCGUGAAGCCGGAAUCCGUAGUAAUCGCGCCUCACCAUGGCGCGGUGAAUGCGUCCCUGCUCCUUGCACACACCGCCCGUCACGCCACCCGAGUCGGGUCCAGGUGAGGCCCAUUCCGUUAAGGGGUGGGUCGAACCUGG
This 1378-nucleotide ribosomal RNA is filed under the name Methanocaldococcus villosus. RNAcentral describes it as "bacterial SSU rRNA". It matches the Rfam family "Archaeal small subunit ribosomal RNA". The record is from RNAcentral. RNAcentral also lists the same sequence under 1 other name. Lineage: Archaea; Methanobacteriati; Methanobacteriota; Methanococci; Methanococcales; Methanocaldococcaceae.